RNAcentral lists this transfer RNA (71 nucleotides) under Marmota monax (woodchuck). RNAcentral's name for it is "tRNA.Ala". It matches the Rfam family "tRNA". From Rfam's summary of the family: Transfer RNA (tRNA) molecules are approximately 80 nucleotides in length. Their secondary structure includes four short double-helical elements and three loops (D, anti-codon, and T loops). Lineage: Eukaryota; Metazoa; Chordata; Mammalia; Rodentia; Sciuridae. The record is from RNAcentral.
GGGGUUGUGGCUUAGUGGUAGAGCACUCACCUAGCAUGUGUGAGGCCCUGGGUUCGAUCCUCAGCACCACA